GCUUCUUUCCUGUUGGGGGUGGUAGAAGAACUUGUACCAGCUGCUUGCUGAGAAAUGACACCAUACUUUGAUGCAGCAGCGGUAGACUUGGCUGCAGCUCGCUUGGCAGCCACGGCCUCUUCAGGUGUGGUAGCGGUUUCAGCCUUCUUGGUGAUCAUCUUACCAUCAGCAGUGUGCAUAGCUGCCAAGUCAGUGGUGGCUUCUUUCCUAUUGGGGGCGGUAGAAGAACUUGUACCAGCUGCUUUCCGAGAGAUGGCACCAUACUUUAAUGAAUCGUCAACAGACUUUGUUGCGUCUCGCUUGGCAGCCACGACCUUUUCAGGUGUCGUGGCGGUUUCAGCCUUCUUGAUGGACUUCUCGGUGGCAGCAUAGUGUGCGGCAGCUAAAGUACCGGCUGCUUCUUUCCUGCCUGGGGAGAUAGAAGAACCUUUACCAUUUGCCUGCUGAGAGAUGGCAUUGUACUUUAAUACAGCAGAAGCAGAUUUUGCUCC
This 491-nucleotide long non-coding RNA is filed under the name Triticum aestivum (bread wheat). RNAcentral describes it as "long non-coding RNA (TAES_LNC011112)". Lineage: Eukaryota; Viridiplantae; Streptophyta; Magnoliopsida; Poales; Poaceae. The record is from RNAcentral.